GAUGAACGCUGGCUACAGGCUUAACACAUGCAAGUCGAGGGGAAACGACGGGGAAGCUUGCUUCCCCGGGCGUCGACCGGCGCACGGGUGAGUAACGCGUAUCCAACCUGCCUCUGACUGAGGGAUAACCCGUCGAAAGUCGGCCUAAUACCUCAUGGCAUCGUCUGCGGGCAUCCAACGACGAUUAAAGAUUUCAUCGGUCAGGGAUGGGGAUGCGUCUGAUUAGCUAGUUGGCGGGGUAACGGCCCACCAAGGCUACGAUCAGUAGGGGUUCUGAGAGGAAGGUCCCCCACAUUGGAACUGAGACACGGUCCAAACUCCUACGGGAGGCAGCAGUGAGGAAUAUUGGUCAAUGGGCGAGAGCCUGAACCAGCCAAGUAGCGUGCAGGAUGACGGCCCUAUGGGUUGUAAACUGCUUUUAUGCGGGGAUAAAGUGAGGGACGUGUCCUUCAUUGCAGGUACCGC
This 465-nucleotide ribosomal RNA is filed under the name Segatella oris. Its description in RNAcentral is "bacterial SSU rRNA". It matches the Rfam family "Bacterial small subunit ribosomal RNA", at positions 28 to 481 of the family's 1533-position model. The record is from RNAcentral. Lineage: Bacteria; Pseudomonadati; Bacteroidota; Bacteroidia; Bacteroidales; Prevotellaceae.